CAGCCCCCCGAGCCUGGUGCCCCCCAAGCCCAGCAACCCAGGUGGUCACAUGGGUUGCCUGCCCCUAACUCCGGUCCUGAGCAAGUCCUCACACAGCACUGAGCACAACCCAUAUGUCUAAUAUGACAGAUUCUUUCUGAGACUCGGAAACUUUCAGAUAGCUGGUCAAAUAAGACUCUGAAAUAUAAAUGGGAACCAAGAGCCAGUGUCUUAGAAACCUAGCAGCCAUAUGGAGACAGAGCUGUGAGACAGCAGUAAGCCCUCAGAGUCCCCUCAGCACAUGGUAUGGAGUCACUGAAUAAUGCUCCUAAAGUUCUCCUGGUGGAACAAUGUGAAGAGAUCAAAGAGAGACUAAGGAACAUGAUGGCAACAAGAAAGAGAAGGGCCCAGGGAACUGUUCUGUCACAGGAGGCAGAAAAAGGGAAAUAAAUUAAAUCAGACAGCUCCGGAGACAAAAACAAAAUGAAAAGCUGGGGUGUUUGGGCUUAGGAAACGUAGUAGAGCUUUUGAUCAUGCAAUGUACUGAGCACCUUCUGUGAGGUCCAAGUGCCCUCAACCCCAGCUAUGCCCUGAUUGUCAGCAAAGCAAUUAAUUUUAAGCACAUGCUUACUUCCAGUGCAGUCAGUGGAACUGAACUAUGUGUUUUGCUGAAGCAGGGCCUGAAGUGGGAGCUAAGAUUCUCAGCACCUCGUAGGACCUGGCGCAAAGAUACCAACAUCAUCAUCGUCCAUGCUUUUCCUGACGUGUCUGGAAUGUUCUUCCAGGUUUGCAGCCACUGAGCUCAGAACUGAAGCGAUGACUUGACCCCAGAAUCCAACUUGGCCGGAAUAUUUGGCGAGACAUAUAAGUUCUGCAGAGUGAAUAUCUGGAGAGCUGAGAUUCCAGAUGCAGCAGAAGGGAAAAACCCAACAGGUUCUUUCAGUGCUGAAAGUAAGAGACUAAAUUAAAAAGUGGUCCAAGGGCAUAAAACACUUAUUUCCUUCCUGGAGAAUACAGAAAAGCGGGAGAUGAGGGAUACAAUGAGACCGUAUAAACUCACCGACAAUCAAACACGCAGAAGCAGUCAAUGAGGCAAACCAGAAGGGGUGCAAAGGGAAGUGGUUUAUUCAUCCCAAGGUUUCUCAUUUCAUUUUCAGAAGGAGAAAAUUAUUCUUCCCAGCCAUGCAACAGCUGAGCUGAAGGCGUGAGGUCCAUGAUGUGCUGUUUACCCGGCACGAAAGAAAGAAUUUCCAGUGGAAAGAUGGAGGAGAAGAAAGCUUCAAAUGACUGCAGUGGGUUAAAGAUUGAGAGAGAGAGAUGCAAUAAAGAUCCCAUCUCCUGUGUGUCUGUCUUCCUGAGAACUCAUGGCAACAACCGGAGCAAACGCAACGACCGUUCACUGCAGCUGCCCACCACCACCCAUCAAAGUCCAUCCUCGCAAGGGGUUUGACCACAUCACAGUAAACGACAAGAGCAGACAGCCGUAUGCUUGGCUGCCACACUGUGGCAUCACUGCUGUGCAGAGUGCGACAGGAAAGUAUCUGCUGCAGUGCGGAGCGCUCUGACAGGCUGCAUUAGAAAGGAUACU
Mauremys reevesii (Reeves's turtle) is the source of this 1567-nucleotide long non-coding RNA. RefSeq lists it as uncharacterized. The transcript is spliced from 4 exons. Lineage: Eukaryota; Metazoa; Chordata; Testudines; Geoemydidae. The record is from RefSeq and is a predicted model, not a curated record.